CUCCGGGAAACCGGGGCUAAUACCGGAUAACAUUUUGAACUGCAUGGUUCGAAAUUGAAAGGCGGCUUCGGCUGUCACUUAUGGAUGGACCCGCGUCGCAUUAGCUAGUUGGUGAGGUAACGGCUCACCAAGGCAACGAUGCGUAACCGACCUGAGAGGGUGAUCGGCCACACUGGGACUGAGACACGGCCCAGACUCCUACGGGAGGCAGCAGUAGGGAAUCUUCCGCAAUGGACGAAAGUCUGACGGAGCAACGCCGCGUGAGUGAUGAAGGCUUUCGGGUCGUAAAACUCUGUUGUUAGGGAAGAACAAGUGCUAGUUGAAUAAGCUGGCACCUUGACGGUACCUAACCAGAAAGCCACGGCUAACUACGUGCCAGCAGCCGCGGUAAUACGUAGGUGGCAAGCGUUAUCCGGAAUUAUUGGGCGUAAAGCGCGCGCAGGUGGUUUCUUAAGUCUGAUGUGAAAGCCCACGGCUCAACCGUGGAGGGUCAUUGGAAACUGGGAGACUUGAGUGCAGAAGAGGAAAGUGGAAUUCCAUGUGUAGCGGUGAAAUGCGUAGAGAUAUGGAGGAACACCAGUGGCGAAGGCGACUUUCUGGUCUGUAACUGACACUGAGGCGCGAAAGCGAGGGGAGCAAACAGGAUUAGAUACCCUGGUAGUCCACG
RNAcentral lists this ribosomal RNA (667 nucleotides) under Bacillus toyonensis. RNAcentral's name for it is "bacterial SSU rRNA". It matches the Rfam family "Bacterial small subunit ribosomal RNA", at positions 147 to 799 of the family's 1533-position model. Lineage: Bacteria; Bacillati; Bacillota; Bacilli; Caryophanales; Bacillaceae. The record is from RNAcentral.